UACGUAGGGGCUAGCGUUAUCCGGAUUUACUGGGCGUAAGGGGUGCGUAGGCGGUCUUUCAAGUCAGGAGUGAAAGGCUACGGCUCAACCGUAGUAAGCUCUUGAAACUGUAAGACUUGAGUGCAGGAGAGGAGAAUGGAAUUCCUAGUGUAGCGGUGAAAUGCGUAGAUAUUAGGAGGAACACCAGUAGCGAAGGCGGCUCUCUGGACUGUAACUGACGCUGAGGCACGAAAGCGUGGGGAGCGAACAGGAUUAGAUACCCUGGUAGU
This 269-nucleotide ribosomal RNA is filed under the name uncultured prokaryote. RNAcentral's name for it is "partial 16S ribosomal RNA". It matches the Rfam family "Bacterial small subunit ribosomal RNA", at positions 524 to 794 of the family's 1533-position model. The record is from RNAcentral.